AUUGAACGCUGGCGGCAGGCCUAACACAUGCAAGUCGAACGGAUCCUUCGGGGACAGUGGCAGACGGGUGAGUAACGCGUGGGAAUGUACCUUGUGGUACGGAAAAAGCAAGGGAAACUAUGGCAAAUACCGUAUGAGCUCUUCGGGGGAAAGAUUUAUCGCCAUAAGAUGAGCCCGCGUAGGUUUAGCGAGUGGGUGAGGUAAAGGCUCACCAAGUCGACGAUCCUUAGCUGGUCUGAGAUGAGGACCAGCCACACUGGGACUGAGACACGGCCCAAACUGUUGCGGGAGGCGGGAGUGUGGAAUAUUGGACGAUGGGCGAAAGCAUGACCCAGGCAUGCCGCGUGUGUGAUGACGGGCUUAUGGUUGUAAAGCACGUUCGCCGAUGAAGAUGAUGGCUGUAGUCGGAGAAGAAGCCCCGGCUAACUUCGUGCCAGCAGCCGCAGUAA
This 449-nucleotide ribosomal RNA is filed under the name uncultured bacterium. Its description in RNAcentral is "partial 16S ribosomal RNA". It matches the Rfam family "Bacterial small subunit ribosomal RNA", at positions 30 to 523 of the family's 1533-position model. The record is from RNAcentral.